GCUUGCUGGGGGGAUUAGUGGCGAACGGGUGAGUAACACGUGAGUAACCUGCCCUUGACUCUGGGAUAAGCCUGGGAAACUGGGUCUAAUACCGGAUAUGACCUUCCAUCGCAUGGUGGUUGGUGGAAAGCUUUUGUGGUUUUGGAUGGACUCGCGGCCUAUCAGCUUGUUGGUGAGGUAAUGGCUUACCAAGGCGACGACGGGUAGCCGGCCUGAGAGGGUGACCGGCCACACUGGGACUGAGACACGGCCCAGACUCCUACGGGAGGCAGCAGUGGGGAAUAUUGCACAAUGGGCGCAAGCCUGAUGCAGCGACGCCGCGUGAGGGAUGACGGCCUUCGGGUUGUAAACCUCUUUCAGUAGGGAAGAAGCCGCAAGGUGACGGUACCUGCAGAAGAAGCGCCGGCUAACUACGUGCCAGCAGCCGCGGUAAUACGUAGGGCGCAAGCGUUAUCCGGAAUUAUUGGGCGUAAAGAGCUCGUAGGCGGUUUGUCGCGUCUGCCGUGAAAGUCCGGGGCUCAACUCCGGAUCUGCGGUGGGUACGGGCAGACUAGAGUGAUGUAGGGGAGACUGGAAUUCCUGGUGUAGCGGUGAAAUGCGCAGAUAUCAGGAGGAACACCGAUGGCGAAGGCAGGUCUCUGGGCAUUAACUGACGCUGAGGAGCGAAAGCAUGGGGAGCGAACAGGAUUAGAUACCCUGGUAGUCCAUGCCGUAAACGUUGGGCACUAGGUGUGGGGGACAUUCCACGUUUUCCGCGCCGUAGCUAACGCAUUAAGUGCCCCGCCUGGGGAGUACGGCCGCAAGGCUAAAACUCAAAGGAAUUGACGGGGGCCCGCACAAGCGGCGGAGCAUGCGGAUUAAUUCGAUGCAACGCGAAGAACCUUACCAAGGCUUGACAUGAACCGGACCGGGGCGGAAACAGUUUUUCCCCUUUGGGGCUGGUUUACAGGUGGUGCAUGGUUGUCGUCAGCUCGUGUCGUGAGAUGUUGGGUUAAGUCCCGCAACGAGCGCAACCCUCGUUCUAUGUUGCCAGCACGUGAUGGUGGGGACUCAUAGGAGACUGCCGGGGUCAACUCGGAGGAAGGUGGGGACGACGUCAAAUCAUCAUGCCCCUUAUGUCUUGGGCUUCACGCAUGCUACAAUGGCCGGUACAAAGGGUUGCGAUACUGUGAGGUGGAGCUAAUCCCAAAAAGCCGGUCUCAGUUCGGAUUGGGGUCUGCAACUCGACCCCAUGAAGUCGGAGUCGCUAGUAAUCGCAGAUCAGCAACGCUGCGGUGAAUACGUUCCCGGGCCUUGUACACACCGCCCGUCAAGUCACGAAAGUUGGUAACACCCGAAGCCGGUGGCCUAACCCCUUGUGGGAGGGAG
Molecule: ribosomal RNA, 1368 nt
Filed under: bacterium
Lineage: Bacteria
Description: bacterial SSU rRNA
Rfam family: Bacterial small subunit ribosomal RNA
Source: RNAcentral